CCUACGGGCGGCAGCAGUGGGGGAUAUUGCACAAUGGGGGGAACCCUGAUGCAGCGACGCCGCGUGGGUGAAGGAGUGCUUCGGCAUGUAAAGCCCUAUCGGCAGGGAAGAAUCAAGACGGUACCUGACUAAGAAGCCCCGGCUAACUACGUGCCAGCAGCCGCGGUAAUACGUAGGGGGCGAGCGUUAUCCGGAUUCACUGGGUGUAAAGGGAGCGUAGACGGCCAUGCAAGCCAGGGGUGAAAGCCCGGGGCCCAACCCCGGGACUGCCCUUGGAACUGUGCGGCUAGAGUGCGGGAGGGGCAGGCGGAAUGCCUGGUGUAGCGGUGAAAUGCGUAGAUAUCAGGAGGAACACCGGCGGCGAAGGCGGCCUGCUGGACUGCGACUGACGUUGAGGCUCGAAAGCGUGGGGAGCGAACAGGAUUAGAUACCCGAGUAGUC
Molecule: ribosomal RNA, 441 nt
Filed under: uncultured bacterium
Lineage: Bacteria
Description: partial 16S ribosomal RNA
Rfam family: Bacterial small subunit ribosomal RNA
Source: RNAcentral